This 666-nucleotide non-coding RNA is filed under the name Pongo abelii (Sumatran orangutan). The record is from RNAcentral. Lineage: Eukaryota; Metazoa; Chordata; Mammalia; Primates; Hominidae.
GAAGCUCAGCACGCUGCCGAAAUCUCAGUGUAUUUUUUCUUUUUCUUUUCUUUUCUUUUUUUCUUUUUUUUUUUUUGCAUGUGAGAGAAAGAACAACAAAUUGCAGUUUUAUCCAUUUGUAUUAUUUCUUUAGAAAACUCAACACUCUUUUUGUUGGAGGUGGGGAAAUGAGAAGGUGAUGUUUUGUUUUGCUUUUUUUUCCUAUUUUUUUUUUUAAAGGAGAAGAUGACAGUGUUCUCCUUGAGGAAGUUUGACUUUUGAAACAUACCACAUGCUUAAAGCACAUUUGAGCUCCUGCAUGAACAGUAAGCUAGCAGAUGGUAGAAAUAUUCGUUAUGAAUUCAAAAAAUCUUUACUGCGGACCUACAAUGUGCCAAGCAUGUCUCCUGACACUGGGGAUAAGCAGUGAACAACAACAAAAAGACAGACUUCUUCCACCCCGAGGCUUAUGUUCUAGGUCUUUGUGGGAAGAAACAAAUCACAAAAGCAAUUAAGAGAGCUCAAAUAAUGGGGUUUAUGCCAGUUACAUUCAAGGAUCCUGCGUAUUUCAGGGACCCUAAAGUUUAUAACAUCAGAUAUAGGGAAUAAAUUCUAUCACAUUACCACCAGUAAACUUAUUUUAUAAGAUGGGUCUCACCAUGUUGCCCAGGCUGGUCUCUAACUCCU